This 162-nucleotide ribosomal RNA is filed under the name Cronobacter muytjensii 530. RNAcentral describes it as "Small Subunit Ribosomal RNA; ssuRNA; SSU rRNA". It matches the Rfam family "Bacterial small subunit ribosomal RNA", at positions 1270 to 1431 of the family's 1533-position model. The record is from RNAcentral. Lineage: Bacteria; Pseudomonadati; Pseudomonadota; Gammaproteobacteria; Enterobacterales; Enterobacteriaceae.
GACCUCAUAAAGUGCGUCGUAGUCCGGAUUGGAGUCUGCAACUCGACUCCAUGAAGUCGGAAUCGCUAGUAAUCGUGGAUCAGAAUGCCACGGUGAAUACGUUCCCGGGCCUUGUACACACCGCCCGUCACACCAUGGGAGUGGGUUGCAAAAGAAGUAGGU